GACGAACGCUGGCGGCGUGCUUAACACAUGCAAGUCGUACGGUAAGGCCCUUUCGGGGGUACACGAGUGGCGAACGGGUGAGUAACACGUGAGUAACCUGCCCACAACUUUGGGAUAACGCUAGGAAACUGGUGCUAAUACUGGAUAUGUGCUCCUGCUGCAUGGUGGGGGUUGGAAAGCUCCGGCGGUUGUGGAUGGACUCGCGGCCUAUCAGCUUGUUGGUGGGGUAGUGGCCUACCAAGGCGGCGACGGGUAGCCGGCCUGUGAGGGUGACCGGACACAAUGCGAAUGAGAUACGGCCCAGACUCCUACGGGAGGCAGCAGUGGGGAAUAUUGCACAAUGGGCGCAAGACUGAUGCAGCAACGCCGCGUGCGGGAUGACGGCCUUCGGGUUGUAAACCGCUUUCAGCAGGGACGAAGCUUUUUGUGACGGUACCUGCAGAAGAAGCACCGGCUAACUCCGUG
RNAcentral lists this ribosomal RNA (465 nucleotides) under uncultured bacterium. RNAcentral describes it as "partial 16S ribosomal RNA". It matches the Rfam family "Bacterial small subunit ribosomal RNA", at positions 28 to 507 of the family's 1533-position model. The record is from RNAcentral.